Long non-coding RNA from Urocitellus parryii (Arctic ground squirrel), 1137 nucleotides. RefSeq lists it as uncharacterized. NCBI's taxonomy places the organism in Eukaryota, Metazoa, Chordata, Mammalia, Rodentia, Sciuridae. The record is from RefSeq and is a predicted model, not a curated record.
UAUUAUAGGGUCGCGUUGCUGGGGGAGGGGGUAGCCUGUGACGGAGCUCGAGGGAGACUGGAGAACUUGGGGGGCGGCGGGCAGAAAAAACAGUCACCCCUAGCAUCUGGGAGCCUGAGACUCAAAGGCACAACUGGGCUCACGGUGGAUGCCUGUGGGACCGCGGCGCGGGGGGCAGACGUUAACCCGGCCACCUCUCGCGCACGUAUUCCACGCUGUCCUUGCGUGGAGAGGAUCGGGAUGGGGGUGGAAUCCAAAGACUGAGCAACUCUGAGCUCGGUGCUUCCGCUCCCCGCGGUCCCACCUGCCUGUCGGCCUGUUACCCUAGAGCCCCAGAGGAUGGGUUCUUGAGAUCUGUGCCCCCAAACGAGCCUAGUCCCCUGUCCUACCCGCUCCCAUUGCACUGCUGAAGCCUUGGGUAGGUGGUCAGAGGAAUUCGUUUCUGGGCUUGGGCUCCUGCCCCCUGGCCCAGCGGCCGAGAACAAGGACCCACAACAGACCUGACACACUGACCCAUCCGCGGGCCCUAGGGACCGACCGACAGCAGCGCUGCCCGGCCUCCCCCGCCUGCAGCGGCGAGAGGGGGCAUCCGCCAGGUUUAUCAAUCCGGGACACGCGGACACUGAUGGAAGAGAGAACCAAACUUACAUCAGACACUCUGGACCGCCGGUUCCACCACUUGCUGGGAGCCUUAAAGACAUCAGAUCAAGGUGAUGAGAUGAAGGACGAGGAGUUGGAGCAAAUCACCCAUGACUCAGGGGGAAAGAAGAGUUGGGGAUGUCUUGUGUGAGUGAGUCUUCCUGUUGCUCAGGAGAGGAGAUAAGGGAAUUAAUCUACCAGAGCAACAUCCAUUUCUCCCACCAGGCUAACUGAGCUGGGGACACCAGGCCAGCUGAGCACAGACUAAGAAAAAAAGAAAAGAAAUAUAUCAGAAAAAUCUGGAACAUUAACCAAGAAAAAUAGUAAAAACUAAGCGGAUAGUAAUGAGCAAAGGUAUCCAAAGUCAGUUUGGGAAGGUCAGUUUAUUAGGAAUCACUCAUUUAUCCAACAAACACCAUCAUGGACUAUAUGCCUAGAGGUGUGCCCGGCAUCUUUUUUUUUUCAUUCACUGUCUCUUUAAUAACUGUUAAUAAAAGA